GACGAACGCUGGCGGCGUGCCUAACACAUGCAAGUCGAGCGAUGAAGUUCUUCGGAACGGAUUAGCGGCGGACGGGUGAGUAACGCGUGAGCAAUCUGCCUUACACAAAGGGAUAGCCUCGGGAAACUGGGAUUAAUACCAUAUGACACUUGGUAAUCGCAUGAGGACCAAGUCAAAGAUUUUAUCGGUGUAAGAUGAGCUCGCGUCUGAUUAGCUAGUUGGUGGGGUAAAGGCCUACCAAGGCGACGAUCAGUAGCCGGCCUGAGAGGGUGAACGGCCACACUGGAACUGAGACACGGUCCAGACUCCUACGGGAGGCAGCAGUGGGGAAUAUUGCACAAUGGGCGCAAGCCUGAUGCAGCGACGCCGCGUGAGCGAAGAAGGUUUUCGGAUCGUAAAGCUCUGUCCUCUGGGAAGAAAAAAUGACGGUACCAGAGGAGGAAGCCCGGCUAACUACGUG
This 460-nucleotide ribosomal RNA is filed under the name uncultured bacterium. RNAcentral describes it as "bacterial SSU rRNA". It matches the Rfam family "Bacterial small subunit ribosomal RNA", at positions 28 to 507 of the family's 1533-position model. The record is from RNAcentral.